GAUGUAGGGUGCAAGCGUUGUCCGGAUUUAUUGGGCGUAAAGAGCUCGUAGGCGGCUUGUUGCGUCGACUGUGAAAACCCGCGGCUUAACCGCGGGCUUGCAGUUGAGACUGGCAUGCUCGAGUUCGGGAGAGGAUGGUGGAAUUCCCAGUGUAGAGGUGAAAUUCGUAGAUAUUGGGAAGAACACCGAUGGCGAAGGCAGCCAUCUGGACCGACACUGACGCUGAGGCGCGAAAGCGUGGGGAGCAAACAGG
This 253-nucleotide ribosomal RNA is filed under the name uncultured bacterium. Its description in RNAcentral is "partial 16S ribosomal RNA". It matches the Rfam family "Bacterial small subunit ribosomal RNA", at positions 524 to 776 of the family's 1533-position model. The record is from RNAcentral.